Molecule: ribosomal RNA, 477 nt
Filed under: uncultured bacterium
Lineage: Bacteria
Description: partial 16S ribosomal RNA
Rfam family: Bacterial small subunit ribosomal RNA
Source: RNAcentral
AUUGAACGCUGGCGGCAUGCCUUACACAUGCAAGUCGAACGGUAACAGGUUAAGCUGACGAGUGGCGAACGGGUGAGUAAUGUAUCGGAACGUGCCUAGUCGUGGGGGAUAACUGCUCGAAAGAGCAGCUAAUACCGCAUACGACCUGAGGGUGAAAGCGGGGGAUCGCAAGACCUCGCGCGAUUGGAGCGGCCGAUAUCAGAUUAGGUAGUUGGUGAGGUAAAGGCUCACCAAGCCGACGAUCUGUAGCUGGUCUGAGAGGACGACCAGCCACACUGGGACUGAGACACGGCCCAGACUCCUACGGGAGGCAGCAGUGGGGAAUUUUGGACAAUGGGCGCAAGCCUGAUCCAGCCAUGCCGCGUGCGGGAAGAAGGCCUUCGGGUUGUAAACCGCUUUUGUCAGGGAAGAAAAGGUUCUGGCUAAUACCUGGGACUCAUGACGGUACCUGAAGAAUAAGCACCGGCUAACUACGUG